GGGCGAGUGGCGGAACUGGCAGACGCGCAGGACUUAGAAUCCUGUGGCGGAGACGCCGUGGGAGUUCGAGUCUCCCCUCGCCCACCA
RNAcentral lists this transfer RNA (87 nucleotides) under Bacillota bacterium. Its description in RNAcentral is "Firmicutes bacterium (hot springs metagenome) tRNA-Leu". It matches the Rfam family "tRNA". From Rfam's summary of the family: Transfer RNA (tRNA) molecules are approximately 80 nucleotides in length. Their secondary structure includes four short double-helical elements and three loops (D, anti-codon, and T loops). Further hydrogen bonds mediate the characteristic L-shaped molecular structure. tRNAs have two regions of fundamental functional importance: the anti-codon, which is responsible for specific mRNA codon recognition, and the 3' end, to which the tRNAs corresponding amino acid is attached (by aminoacyl-tRNA synthetases). tRNAs cope with the degeneracy of the genetic code in two manners: having more than one tRNA (with a specific anti-codon) for a particular amino acid; and 'wobble' base-pairing, i.e. permitting non-standard base-pairing at the 3rd anti-codon position. The record is from RNAcentral. Lineage: Bacteria; Bacillati; Bacillota.